RNAcentral lists this unclassified non-coding RNA (876 nucleotides) under uncultured Synechococcus sp. Its description in RNAcentral is "partial may contain 16S ribosomal RNA, 16S-23S ribosomal RNA intergenic spacer, and 23S ribosomal RNA". The stretch from base 348 to 420 matches the Rfam family "tRNA". The record is from RNAcentral. Lineage: Bacteria; Bacillati; Cyanobacteriota; Cyanophyceae; Synechococcales; Synechococcaceae.
CGUCGAAGGUGGGGCUGAUGACUGGGGUGAAGUCGUAACAAGGUAUCCGUACCGGAAGGUGCGGAUGGAUCACCUCCUAACAGGGAGACAACACAAUGAUUUUGAUGCCUGAGUACUUUUAUUCUUAGGCCGAAAUCCUGUCACCUUAGGUCGAUCGGUACCUCAGCUUUGAAGUCAAGGAUCAGCAGCAAUGUUGAUUGCUUGAUGGAGAUUUUUAGUUCCUAAACUUUGUCUAGGUCACACCCCAAAAGGGAUGAGACUCCUGGGCCAUUAGCUCAGGUGGUUAGAGCGCACCCCUGAUAAGGGUGAGGUCCCUGGUUCAAGUCCAGGAUGGCCCAUUCGGUGUUGGGGGUUUAGCUCAGUUGGUAGAGCGCCUGCUUUGCAAGCAGGAUGUCAGGAGUUCGAGUCUCCUAACCUCCACUGACCGAACUUGAUUCCCAUCUCCAAUUUUUUGGAGUUGAGCUCGAUUGGAGUGUGAUUUAGAUGUGUCCGCUGGAUGACCCCAGCUUCCUGUCAUUCCAAGUUUUAGAUUUUAAGUCUUAAAUUUGGUUGAUAAGAUGCUGGGCUCGGAUCAAAUAAUCAAGCAAUUGAUGAUUUGAUUUGAAGUUCUAGCAGAACCUUGACAACUGCAUAGGUGAAGUCUGGAAAAACAAAGCAUCUUACAGAUGCAUUGUUUUGAAUCUGAUCUUCUGAAAGGGAGAUUAGAUCUAGAACAAUGAAAAUUCUUUUGAGCAAGAGCCGAGACUCUUAAAUGUUCUUUGAUUCGUGUCGAGCGAAUCAGAGUUUGAUCUUGUUUUUAGCAAUAAAAACUUGAGAAUCUGCUUUCAACGGCGGUAAGCGUUUAAGAGGUUAAUUGGUCAAGCUACAAAGGGCUCA